CCACCUCCCCCUCCGCAUGCCACCUCUUUCCUGAUCCACAAUGCCUCCUAUGCUCCAUCACCACGCCGGGCCGCCUCCACCCGGACCACGCCGCAUCCGUGCGCCACCACGCCGAAUCCACGGCGGAGGAGCCCGGGGACUCCAACGGUCCCUCCUCUCUUGCUGCUCGUUGCGCUCUCGGGCUCUUCUCCGUCCACCACUUCGGAGGCCAUCCCCGUCCACCUCUUCGCCGUACAUUCUUCUCCCUCUGCACCUUCUCAUCGCCCGACACCGCCGCCUCCUCUUUCCUGGGACUCAUCCGCCCGCACUCGCUCGAUUGGUGCCUCCAUCCAUCCCACCGGCGGCCAGAGGACCUAGAAGCUCCCUACCCUCGCCUCAUCUCCGGCCUCCGAUCCAAUCGGACCCGCCUUCCAUCCGCCGGCAGCGUGUUACCUACGGGACGGGAGAUCCAUGGCCGCAUCCCUCCGCCAUCCUCAAUGCGGCAUCGGCGGCAGUGCACAGCUGCGAAGAAGGAACUAGACGCGGCGGUCACCCGCGCCUCUGUCGACCCCUCCACCAUCUUCCAUGGUGAUGCCCUGAUCCCUCCACCAUCAAGCGCAGCCCGGCAGGAACACGGGGAUUUGUAGCGUGCUCAUCCUUGGUAUUAGUUAUUCUCCUUGUCCCUGCCGUAUUCCCUCUCUAUCAAAUGCAUCCAAAAUCUCUCGGUUCAAGCACUCAAGCUUGGCUUCAAAAGACCUUAUCUUCUCAAGCGCCAAGGAACACUGCACCAGGCGUUUCUUUCAGUAGCUCUAUCUAUGUUCUUAUUUUAUAUUUCAGCAGCUCUAUCUCUGUUCUUAUUAUUUUCAGGUAUUUUCUCUAGCAACUCUCCAUUUGGUGACAAGCUCUUGCCGCUUGCUUUCUUUUGGUUAGGCCAUCCAUGUUCUUUUCAGUAAUUAUUCUUGCUCAACGUAUCGUGUGGAUUAGUUAUUAGUGGUGUGUUUGCUAGCUGAAUCGAGGUUAAAUAAAGGGCCUGGGAGUAUGACCAUGAUGGAGAUUAUCAGUGCCACACUGCAAGUGUCGAAUGCAGCUUUCUGAAUAUGAUGGGAUCUUGAGAUGGGUCAAUUAUCUUUGAGAAGCAUUAUAAGCUUGAUGUUUUCUGAACAUCUCAGAAUUCAGACACGUUGAGCUCAAUUCAUGGUUCUGUAUGCAAGAGGUGUUGACCCCAAGUCAAUAGUGUGCGAACUGGACAAACAUUGAUUGGACUACGCAGACAAGCAUGAUGCAGAAACUGUGGAGGACUGGGAUCAGGAAAACUCUGGAGAAGGUUGUUGAAUCGAAAAAGACAGAUAGAAGCGCUCAAGAGAUAGUAGGCUGGGGAGCAGAUGGUGUGACUAUGGGCAGUGUAAUUGUUUGACAGUUACCUGAAGCUGCUACUCUUGAAGAAGGGUUCAAGAGGCUAGAGGAGUACACCAGGAAUCACUAUGCCACUAAGGUGCACUACCAUGAUGAACAAGGGGAUUAGAACACAACAGAAUACUUCUUGCCAGCGUAAAAUUGUACGUAAAAUACUUGCUGCUAGCGUAAAGAUAUAAAAUAGAAUUUGUUGGACUA
This is a long non-coding RNA of Setaria italica (foxtail millet), 1590 nucleotides long. RefSeq lists it as uncharacterized. The record is from RefSeq and is a predicted model, not a curated record. The transcript has 4 exons. Lineage: Eukaryota; Viridiplantae; Streptophyta; Magnoliopsida; Poales; Poaceae.